CCUGAUAAUUAAGUUUUUUUCUAAUUUUUUCUUUUUCAUUGAUUUUUUCUAUAUUUUUUCCAUUUUUUCUCUAUUUUUCCAUCUAUAGGAGUCCCUAAUUGGGUGGGAGGCUUAGAGCUAGUGGCCAAAAGGAAAGCUUAGGUGAUGGCUGGGGUUUUGUGUUGAGUAUUUCCUUUUUUUUUUCUGUUCCCAGGAGUCUC
This 200-nucleotide long non-coding RNA is filed under the name Elaeis guineensis (African oil palm). Its description in RNAcentral is "long non-coding RNA (EGUI_LNC002771)". Lineage: Eukaryota; Viridiplantae; Streptophyta; Magnoliopsida; Arecales; Arecaceae. The record is from RNAcentral.